CCCUUCGGGGACAUUGGUGACAGGUGGUGCAUGGUUGUCGUCAGCUCGUGUCGUGAGAUGUUGGGUUAAGUCCCGCAACGAGCGCAACCCUUGUCUUUAGUUGCCAUCAUUAAGUUGGGCACUCUAGAGAGACUGCCAGGGAUAACCUGGAGGAAGGUGGGGAUGACGUCAAAUCAUCAUGCCCCUUAUGCUUAGGGCUACACACGUGCUACAAUGGGUAGUACAGAGGGUUGCCAAGCCGUAAGGUGGAGCUAA
RNAcentral lists this ribosomal RNA (255 nucleotides) under Clostridioides difficile. Its description in RNAcentral is "partial 16S ribosomal RNA". It matches the Rfam family "Bacterial small subunit ribosomal RNA", at positions 1016 to 1271 of the family's 1533-position model. The record is from RNAcentral. Lineage: Bacteria; Bacillati; Bacillota; Clostridia; Peptostreptococcales; Peptostreptococcaceae.